Molecule: long non-coding RNA, 279 nt
Organism: Oreochromis aureus
Lineage: Eukaryota; Metazoa; Chordata; Actinopteri; Cichliformes; Cichlidae
Exons: 3
Source: RefSeq, a predicted model, not a curated record
GCCAGCCAGCGUGAGACAUCUGGGAUACAUUGGGCUUGUGAGACAGGAGAGAAGGGGCAGCUGGAAGCUAUCAGAACCCAGGAGAUCAGCAGAUCUGUUCAGUGUGUAUGAGAUCUGACCUGUCCUGAGCUCUGAGUUCAUCCACUGCCCAUACAAGACUGAUGUGAAGGACAUGUGAUCAGGUGACCAGUGCUGCUGGCUGUGAGGUCUGCUACGCUUUAAUAGCAAGCAGCUGGAGUACACCCAGAAUGCAGGACUCAGAAGACAGACGUAAAACUC